Non-coding RNA from Paralichthys olivaceus (Japanese flounder), 1121 nucleotides. The record is from RefSeq and is a predicted model, not a curated record. NCBI's taxonomy places the organism in Eukaryota, Metazoa, Chordata, Actinopteri, Pleuronectiformes, Paralichthyidae.
GGGGUAUAAGUCAAGAGUCGAGUGACUUUCUGAGACAGACCAAAGAGGAGAGGCAUCCUUGAGGUUGACAUCGAUGUGGAGAACUAAUCUGCCUGUGGGCUGUGAUUCAGACCCAAGGACCCUCAGAUAUCCCUCUGCUGGAACUCCCCCAGAUGACAGACACCGCUCUCCUCUCCAUUCCUCCACACUACCCCAGUAGCCUUUGACCUCGCCGGCACCUCUGCCUCUCCGCUCGGCCGGCCUCGCAUUCCAGUAAAGGAGCUGAAACCUGAGCCCCGGUGAGCUCAUCGCCGGGCUGCGGAAUCAAGAGUUAAAUGAUACCAAAAAACAGUGAGGGGAGAGAAAACGCAGACAGAAGGGGGAGAGGCAGCCGUUGGUGCGGGACAGGUCUGGAACUGGUUCUAUGUGUGCGCUUGCCGGGACUCCUCGGGGGUUAAGUUACACCAGAGAGAGCAAGGAGGAAGAGGAAGGAGAAACUGCUGGCGUCUUUGAAUUAUCUUUGCUUUUGUCUUGUCUCUCCGCGGCCUGGCUGAGUGGUGCCUGCAGUUUCCUCUUGACACACUCCAGCGAGCCCGCCGACCUCCAUCCGCGCUUUCAAGUUAACGAGCCCCGAUGGUCUCGUCCUCGUGUCUCAGAGCCGGGCUGGGAUGUGAGUGUAAUGCUGCGAGGUCGCGCUCCGCACUCACUCUGAGUCUCUGUUCUUCUCCGACCCUGCCAUGACCACCAACUGUCCAAAGAUGAUCGAGCGGCCGUGGCCUCUCAGCUUCAUCUCAUGACCCCUCAUGGUGGGUCUGACCCCAGGUUGGGAACCUUUGAACUAAAGCCUAUUCAGCAGGAAUUGAAAGCUGUUUUUCUUGGACAGCAGAAUAACAUGUAGUUUAAGACUCUGUCAAUACUUAAAGGUGAGACUGUUUUUUUUUGCUUUUAAUACCUUAUCCAUGAAUGUGCAGUCGUAUCAGAGGUGGUGUGGUAACUGUUCUAUUCACAGACUGAAAGUGAUUAUUGUCGUACCCCUCACAUUUGAAGCUGUUAACACUCUGACAGUGCAGAUUCAUCUUGCACACCGAGUCAAAACAUACCCUUGCCCACAUGUGUCUGAAUGACCAAUAGGAGUAUUCAUC